RNAcentral lists this ribosomal RNA (340 nucleotides) under Schistonchus macrophylla. RNAcentral's name for it is "LSU rRNA". It matches the Rfam family "Eukaryotic large subunit ribosomal RNA", at positions 646 to 944 of the family's 3401-position model. Lineage: Eukaryota; Metazoa; Nematoda; Chromadorea; Rhabditida; Aphelenchoididae. The record is from RNAcentral.
GACCCGUCUUGAAACACGGACCAAGGAGUUUAAGGUGUACGCAAGUUAUUGAGCUUAAAUUUUUAACGAAACUCAAAAGCAUAAUGAAAGUGAAACACUUUAGUGUUUAUGAUGUGAAUAGUGGUUUUAAAUUUAAAAAAUUUACACUAUGCAACAUCACCCCAUGACUAGAACAUGUUCUGUUGUGGAGGUUGAGCGUACGCUUUGAGACCCGAAAGAUGGUGAACUAUGCCUGAACAGGAUGAAGCCAGAGGAAACUCUGGUGGAAGUCCGAAGCGGUUCUGACGUGCAAAUCGAUCGUCUGAUUUGGGUAUAGGGGCGCAAGACUAAUCGAACCAUC